GACGAACCGUGCGAACGUUGUUCGGAAUCACUGGGCUUAAAGGGAGCGUAGGCGGGCUAACAAGUCUGAGGUGAAAUGCCACGGCUCAACCGUGGAACUGCCUUAGAUACUGUCGGCCUCGAGGGAGAUAGGGGCAUGCGGAACUGUAGGUGGAGCGGUGAAAUGCGUUGAUAUCUACAGGAACUCCGGUGGCGAAAGCGGCGUGCUGGAUCUCUUCUGACGCUGAGGCUAGAAAGCUAGGGGAGCAAACGGG
RNAcentral lists this ribosomal RNA (253 nucleotides) under uncultured bacterium. Its description in RNAcentral is "partial 16S ribosomal RNA". It matches the Rfam family "Bacterial small subunit ribosomal RNA", at positions 524 to 776 of the family's 1533-position model. The record is from RNAcentral.